GUGUGAAUUGGGAUUCCUGUUCUGUGCUACAGAAUGCAUUGUGACCGAUUGGUGCUGGUGCCAUCAACUGCCCCUCCUCGCUCCACGGUCUUCACAGGUCUCCACCCAGGAUUCCAAGUCCAGUAGAAGGAAGAGCGCCUGCUUGCCCACCAGUGGGAACCCAAGUCCAGGGCUGGCUUUCAUUGGCCAAAGGGCACAUCCCUGAACCAAUCACUGUGGCCAAAGGAGUGAGAUUCUCCGAUUGGUUAGGCUCAAGUCACAUGCCCACCUGGAGCUCAAGCAAGUGUGGGCUGAGCGGACAAAGACAGUUCCCCUGAGAAAAAUUGAGGUCCUGUUACUGGAAGGGUGAAAUAAUGCUGGGCAGCAAAAAUAACACGUGUAUUUUUCGGUUUGCUCAGAGCCUGACAUGUAAGAAAUGUUGGGGGG
Herpailurus yagouaroundi (jaguarundi) is the source of this 426-nucleotide long non-coding RNA. RefSeq lists it as uncharacterized. The record is from RefSeq and is a predicted model, not a curated record. The transcript has 2 exons. Lineage: Eukaryota; Metazoa; Chordata; Mammalia; Carnivora; Felidae.